RNAcentral lists this ribosomal RNA (427 nucleotides) under uncultured bacterium. RNAcentral describes it as "bacterial SSU rRNA". It matches the Rfam family "Bacterial small subunit ribosomal RNA", at positions 355 to 796 of the family's 1533-position model. The record is from RNAcentral.
UAGGGAAUUUUACGCAAUGGGCGAAAGCCUGACGUAGCGACACCGCGUGAGCGAAGAAGCCUUUUGGGGUGUAAAGCUCUGUCAGCUGGGACGAAAAAAAUGACGGUACCAGCAGAGGAAGCAUCGGCUAACUACGUGCCAGCAGCCGCGGUAAGACGUAGGAUGCAAGCGUUGUCCGGAUUUAUUGGGCGUAAAGAGUUCGUAGGCGGUUUGUUAAGUCUGAUGUUAAAGAUCGGGGCUCAACCCCGGGAGUGCAUUGGAUACUGGCAGACUGGAGUACGGUAGAGGUAAGUGGAAUUUCUGGUGUAGCGGUGAAAUGCGUAGAUAUCAGAAAGAACACCGGUGGCGUAAGCGACUUACUGGGCCAUAACUGACGCUGAGGAACGAAAGCCAGGGGAGCAAAUGGGAUUAGAUACCCCGGUAGUCC